Molecule: long non-coding RNA, 1382 nt
Organism: Zalophus californianus (California sea lion)
Lineage: Eukaryota; Metazoa; Chordata; Mammalia; Carnivora; Otariidae
Exons: 3
Source: RefSeq, a predicted model, not a curated record
CGCUCAACCAACUGAGCCACCCAGGCACCCCUAUUUAAUUUUCUUAUAUUUCAUUUUUAAGUAGGGAAUAAGCAACAGCACGACAAAGGAGGCUAGCUGCUUACUUUCCUCUGAUGACUUCUCACACUCUGUAAGAAGACAAUAAAUACCAAAGUCUCUGACAGCUAGUCAUAUGGUGAUGGUCACGUCUAAAUGCUCUCCAUUAGGGAAGAAAAACACAAAUAGAUGGGGAGUUCCCAAGAAAGCCCAGGAGCUCAAAUCCUUGGGUCUGAUCAGCCUGGCAAAUAGGUGUUUCUUCAAACUAGUCCCUGUAAGGACAAUUGUCAAUGGUCUUGUCUUAGUACCUGAUACAGAGCAGGUGAUCAAUAACUGUCAGCUAUUAAAUCAAAUCCACUGGCUACGUUAUACCUCAGUCGGGAUGAACUGGGCCUGGCCAAUCCAAAUGGUGCUUACAGGUGAGCAGCAUUAUCAGCUGAGGUUACACAACACUCAAAGCUGCAUUUUCCCAGGGGCUUUAGGGCUCCCUGCAUCAUAGCCCAUAAUGACUAAGAAUUCUUUCUUGGAAUGUGGUGGGAUGGGGAAACGUAUGCAAGGAUUCCAUCCUGAUGACCUCCCCUCUGGGCUUUAACAGGAUUUCCUAAAAGUGACUUGGAUUUAUCCUGUCUUGUCCAAGGCUCCAGGACCUCUUUUUACAUGUCCUCUAACAAUGGAACUUGGUAGAGGAAGAGGAGUUUAGGACAUAGACACAUGCCGAGGAAAGACCACUUGAAGACAUAGAGAGAAGACAGCCACCUACAAGCCAAGGAGAGGGGCCUCGGAAGACACCAGCCCUGCCGACAGCCUUGAUCUCAGAUUUGCAGCCUCCACACGUAAAACCUGUUCCGGGAAACAGUGGUGACUUAAGAUGGCAACUCAUUCAUACAAGUCUCGAAUCUCGAAAUAACCACCGGAUUUCACCUCACAGUCAAGUGCUUUUUGAACACUUCUUUUGUCACACAGAAUAUCAAAAAGAUGUGUCCUCCAGAUUCAAGACUUAACAAAAUAAGCUUUUUUGUUUCAUCAAAGACAUUUUUAAGUCAAACUGGAAUUGUUUACUGUAAAUGGGGAGCUGUGGAGAAAACAGCGACUACUAGCACAGUUUGGUGCCACUCAGUGCCUUGCUUCAUGCUAAGGCCGGGCAGCUUCACCCUCAAUACAAAUGUCAACACAGUGAAAAAGGCAAAGCAGUAACAUUAUUUUCUAAAAAUAGCAUUGACUUUCUGGACCCUCUGGAAGAAUCUCUGGGAGAACCAAGGCCCAUGGAUUAUACUUUGAGAAUCACUGUACCACUAGUCUAUCUACCCCACGGAACCAUAACCUCCUGUUAUAUCUUCAGGGUACAG